This 123-nucleotide small nuclear RNA is filed under the name Zalophus californianus (California sea lion). RNAcentral's name for it is "U4 spliceosomal RNA (ENSZCAG00015008776.1)". It matches the Rfam family "U4 spliceosomal RNA". Rfam says of the family: U4 small nuclear RNA (U4 snRNA) is a component of the major U2-dependent spliceosome. The record is from RNAcentral. Lineage: Eukaryota; Metazoa; Chordata; Mammalia; Carnivora; Otariidae.
AGCUUUGCACAGUGACAGGAUCGUAGCCAGUGAGGUUUCUCUGAGGCACGAGUAUUGCUAAUUUAAAACCAAUCAAGAGAAACGUCCUCAAAUGUAAUGAAAAAUGUUACAAGCGUUAACCCU